RNAcentral lists this ribosomal RNA (537 nucleotides) under uncultured fungus. RNAcentral describes it as "eukaryotic LSU rRNA". The stretch from base 171 to 324 matches the Rfam family "5.8S ribosomal RNA". The record is from RNAcentral. Lineage: Eukaryota; Fungi.
AAGUCGUAACAAGGUUUCCGUAGGUGAACCUGCGGAAGGAUCAUUAGUGAUUGCCUUUAUAGGCUUAUAACUAUAUCCACUUACACCUGUGAACUGUUCUACUACUUGACGCAAGUCGAGUAUUUUUACAAACAAUGUGUAAUGAACGUCGUUUUACUAUAACAAAAUAAAACUUUCAACAACGGAUCUCUUGGCUCUCGCAUCGAUGAAGAACGCAGCGAAUUGCGAUAAGUAAUGUGAAUUGCAGAAUUCAGUGAAUCAUCGAAUCUUUGAACGCAGCUUGCGCUCUCUGGUAUUCCGGAGAGCAUGCCUGUUUCAGUGUCAUGAAAUCUCAACCACUAGGGUUUCCUAAUGGAUUGGAUUUGGGCGUCUGCGAUUUCUGAUCGCUCGCCUUAAAAGAGUUAGCAAGUUUGACAUUAAUGUCUGGUGUAAUAAGUUUCACUGGGUCCAUUGUGUUGAAGCGUGCUUCUAAUCGUCCGCAGGGACAAUUACUUUGACUCUGGCCUGAAAUCAGGUAGGACUACCCGCUGAACUUAA